GACAGAGGGUGCAAACGUUGCUCGGAAUUACUGGGCGUAAAGCGUGCGCAGGCGGUUUUGUAAGCCAGAUGUGAAAUCCCCGGGCUUAACCUGGGAAUGGCAUUUGGGACUGCAAGGCUGGAGUGCGGCAGAGGGGACUGGAAUUCCUGGUGUAGCAGUGAAAUGCGUAGAGAUCAGGAGGAAUACCGAUGGCGAAGGCAGGUCCCUGGGUUGACACUGACGCUCAUGCACGAAAGCGUGGGGAGCAAACAGG
This 253-nucleotide ribosomal RNA is filed under the name uncultured bacterium. RNAcentral describes it as "partial 16S ribosomal RNA". It matches the Rfam family "Bacterial small subunit ribosomal RNA", at positions 524 to 776 of the family's 1533-position model. The record is from RNAcentral.